Molecule: ribosomal RNA, 1287 nt
Filed under: metagenome
Description: SSU rRNA
Rfam family: Eukaryotic small subunit ribosomal RNA
Source: RNAcentral
UCUGGUUGAUCCUGCCAGUAGUCAUAUGCUUGUCUCAAAGAUUAAGCCAUGCAUGUCUAAGUAUAAAUAGUAUACAGUGAAACUGCGAAUGGCUCAUUAAAACAGUUAUAGUUUAUUUGAUAAUUGACAAUUACAUGGAUAACCGUGGUAAUUCUAGAGCUAAUACAUGCUUAAACGCCCGACUUUAUGGAAGGGUGGUAUUUAUUAGACUGAAGCCAAUAUUCCUUGUGUCUAUUGCGGUGAUUCAUAAUAACUGAUCGAAUCUCUUUUUGAGAUAAAUCAUUCAAGUUUCUGCCCUAUCAGCUUUCGAUGGUAGUGUAUUGGACUACCAUGGCAGUAACGGGUAACGAAGAAUUAGGGUUCGAUUUCGGAGAGGGAGCAUGAGAAACGGCUACCACAUCUAAGGAAGGCAGCAGGCGCGUAAAUUACCCAAUCCUGACUCAGGGAGGUAGUGACAAGAAAUAGCAAACCGGGAACCUCAUGGUUUCACGGUAUUGCAAUGAGAACAAUUUAAAACCCUUAGCGAGAAUCAAGUGGAGGACAAGUCUGGUGCCAGCACCCGCGGUAAUUCCAGCUCCACUAGCGUAUAUUAAAGUUGUUGCAGUUAAAAAGCUCGUAGUUGAACCUCUGUCUGGGGCUAGUUUUGGCUUUGGUCAGGCUAGUUCUAGGCAUCCGCCUACAAGACUUAGAGGGCAUUCAGUUGUUCACUAGGAGGAGUAGGCAUUUUACUUUGAAAAAAUUAGAGUGUUUAAGGCAGGCAAUCGCCCGCAUAUAUUAGCAUGGAAUAAUAGAAUAGGACACUUUUCCAUUUCGUUGGUUAUUGGAAUCGUGUAAUGAUUAAUAGGGACAGUUGUGGGCAUUUGUAUUUAAUUGUCAGAGGUGAAAUUCUUGGAUUUAUUAAAGACAAACUAACGCGAAAGCAUUUGCCAAGGAUGUUUUCAUUAAUCAAGAACGAAAGUUAGGGGAUCAAAGACGAUCAGAUACCGUCCUAGUCUUAACUAUAAACUAUUCCGACUCAAUGUUUGACUGGCUUAUAUAACCAGUUGAGCGUUCUAUGAGAAAUCAAAGUCUUUAGGUUCUGGGGGGAGUAUGGUUGCAAAGCUGAAACUUAAAGGAAUUGACGGAAGAGCACAACCAGGAGUGGAUUCUGCGGCUUAAUUUGACUCAACACGGGGAAACUUACCAGGUUAAAACAAUAGUGGGAUUGACAGUUUGAGAGCGCUUUCUUGAUUGGUUGGGUGGUGGUGCAUGGCCGUUCUUAGUUGGUGGAGUGAUUUGUCUGCUUAA